Molecule: ribosomal RNA, 253 nt
Filed under: uncultured bacterium
Lineage: Bacteria
Description: partial 16S ribosomal RNA
Rfam family: Bacterial small subunit ribosomal RNA
Source: RNAcentral
UACAGAGGGGGCAAGCGUUAUUCGGAAUUAUUGGGCGUAAAGGGCGCGUAGGCGGCUUUGCAAGUGACGGGUGAAAUCCCUCGGCUUAACCGAGGAACUGCCUGUCAAACUGCAUGGCUUGAGACCGGGAGAGGUGAGUGGAAUUCCCAGUGUAGCGGUGAAAUGCGUAGAUAUUGGGAGGAACACCAGUGGCGAAGGCGGCUCACUGGACCGGUACUGACGCUGAGGCGCGAAAGCGUGGGUAGCAAACAGG